CUUGUGGAAAGAAGUGACUAGGGUCGGGUGCUCAUGCUCAAACAUUAGAUGUAGGUUCGGUUCGGGUAGUUGUGUCAUUCCUUAACUAGGGGUCGGGUAUUGGAUUACUGACUAUACUAGGGGUCGGGUAUUGGAAUCAAAGAAAUUAGAAAUAUGAAAUAAAGCAGAAAAGUCGUACAAUUUAUCCUUGAGAGAACACCUGCCGCUACACGUUAGUAGUUCCUUGACGGUGGGAAUAACUCUUACUAAAUAUACUAUAUGUUGUUUCUUUUUUUAGUUGUCUUUGCGUUUCAGUGCUUUUAGGCAGUGUUUCAGCCUGUAACUACCCAGUGGAAUUCUCACUUUCCAUUAAGAGCACUAGUCUGGUUACUUCCUCUAUCAUACCGUACAGAGCGGGUGUAACAAUAACUCUUCUCUUUCUUGACUUCCCACUGAAAAGCCUCAAACUACGGACUUAGUAUAUGCUUGGCGGUCGUUAGUAAUAGCUUGCCCAGCAAACAAUCUAUUGUAAGCUUCUGAUCUGGUCGACUUGAAUGAGUUUAAUCCCGCCGAGUAUACGAGUUGGGGCAAGUGAAAUGGGUUUCUUUCUCUAGAAGUAGUAGUGACUUCUUCAAUGAGCAGAUAUAAUAAGUGGCACUGGACUUGAAGACAAGAAGCACUUACCGGGUGAACAAAGAUAUUCUCACUGAGAAAGCUAAUGCAACUAGAAACAUAAGAAACAUCAGAAUUUGCCAAGAGUUAAGGCAACCUUUAUGUUAAGUUGUCUACGGAAUGAAUCCAUUGGGGCACUUUACUUAAUUCCUUCACUCCUUCUUGCUUAGCUCUUGUCUAGUAGUUCCUUGGCCCCCUACUUCAUUCUAUCUGUUAUUCUAUUGGUCUGUCAUUCCCUUCUUUCAUUCAUAGAUUACGGAUUCUAAUUGGCCUUUGGUUACCCCGUUGCAUUCUUAUCCUCUGUUUUCUAGCUUUCCUUCUUUAGAUAUAGUAGUUCCCCUUCCCUUCUUAUUAGGGCACCGAGGUGCUAAGAGCUUCUGAUUGACAACUACUGAUUCCACAGCUGACCUUGCCUCUGAUCUUGCCUCUGAUCUAUAUGAUUCUUUAUCAACCCGCACCUCUUUCUCUCCACUCAUAAUUGAACCUCUUUUCCUUGGUCAACUACUACUGAUGCAACAGGACUGCUCUACUACCUGGGUUCAGUCUUGUUAGCACUGGCUUAAGUCUUGGAUUCACCCGUAUCAGGCUUACUAUCCAUAGCACCAGUCCUAGCAUCACUGGGUUAAAUCUCUAACUACCCAACAUAGACCUGUAACUCACCAGCAACAGCCUUACUACCAACAAAGAGAAUCAGUAGCAACAGGAUCAGGCUUGGACUCACUAGCUCUACUCUUAGCCUAUCACUCCUUAGGUUCAUUCCCUAACUACUUAGCUUAAGCCUGUAACUAGUAAUGCCUAGCUUAGUAGGGCAGUGUACCAGUCUUGUUAGCAGCGAGUGAAGCCUGUAACUAGGACCGGAUAGCCUGUAACUUAUGGGGCGCAUUCUGAGGCAUAUGGGUUUGGUUCUGAUCUUAGCAGCUAUAGUAUUGGAUUCACUAGCUCCACUCUUUGCCUUGACAGCUCCAUUCUCACCUUCCUUAGCUUCAUUCCCUAACUACCUAGCUCACCUCUUAGCUGGAUGCGGGCAAUCGGUGGUCUAGUAACAUCCCUCCCCUAGUCUAGUUCUCUUUCCUUUAAGAAUGGAAUUGCCCAUCUCUUCCUCUGAUCUUGCUAAUCUAACUCUGUAAACUCAUACUUAUUGAAACUAACCUAACUCCCAAACAUAGAAAGUAGGCCUACUAACCAAGCUACAACUACUGGACUGGAACCCUAAUAAGUAAGUAAACAAGCCUACCCCACAAAGUCAGUAAACUAAGUAAGUCAACUACCUUCGCAUCAACCAUAAGUCAACUCCCCUCGCAUCAAAGCUAGCACUCACUCCUGGAUGGUCUCCCGUUUCAUUCUUUCAUUCAGUAUUCCUAGCCUGGAGUCUCUGAUCGGUGUUAGCUCAAUUCUUUAACUACCUUGUUUCGGGUCUAUGUCUUCUGAUCUUAGUAGCGACUGCCCUGGCUUUAAGGCUUCUACUUACUAGCUGCCCCCUAGCUUACUGUCAACCCGGCUUCCUCGCCUUUGCAAACAACAAGAACUGGCACAGGGCAUUCUCAUUCAAGAACAGGAACUAGGCUCUAAUCUAACUCUGUAAACUGCCAAGCAGCAGGCUACUAUCAUACCUAUCCCAACUAACAAGCAAGUCAGUAAACCUCGGAUCCUCCACCUCCGGCUAGGCAAGGGAAGAAUUGGUAAUAUGAGUUUGAUUCUGAGUUUCCAUUACUAGAUGCACUUGUUUAAGUCUUAGCAGAGAAUUAAUACCUUAGUUACUAGACUAGGACUGCCGAGUUUGAUUCUGAUCUGCGAGCUCACCGAUGAGUUUCAUUCUUCUACUUACUACCUUACAACUUAGUUCUAUUCUUAUCUUCUUAUCUUGGUAUGAGGUCAACUCUAAUCGCCGUAGCUAUGGUAGUGGUUUCUCAUUCUUGUUAGCACUGGUUGAAGCCACCAAGCAACGGAUAGACAAGCAACGGGACCAGGGCCAAGCGGAGUAUAUACAAGCAACGGGACAAGUUUUGGCCUCUAUAGUGGACAACACUGAAUCACUUACAGCAACUGAACUAGUAGACUAUACAAGAACUGGAACAGUCAAUUCUCUACUAUACUAUACCCGACCUCUAGUGUUAACGCCUACCACUACAAAUACGGAAUUCCAAUCUAACAUGAACAGGACUACCACUUGAAGGUUGAUACUUAAGACCAGGCAAGCAACUACUAACGUUGCGACCAAGCAACGGGAUGAGCUACGUAGUAGCGAAUGCAGAGUAAGACGUUGGGCGGCAUUAUAGGAAGUUAUAAACAAGUCCUUAGUUCGGCGGUAGCUACCAAUAGGGAGAUAUAACGAGUUAUAACCAAGUCCUGUUUUUUGGAGUUAAGCUUACACUCAAAUAGCUUUAUUUCGAAUAAGUGGAAGUUUUUCUCAGUAUUUCCCAUGAAACUAGGAAACUGUCCUUAGAAGUAAUUGAUGCCUAACAUAUUUAUGGUUCCUUCUAGCUUUCACGAUACCCUUACUCUUUUCUUUUGACAACACCGUCUACAAAUACAUAUGAAACUCGGGGUUAAAAGACAGAUGAAACUCACACUUUCACAGGACAGGAAGACUGCCGCUACACAUUAGUAGUUACUUGGCCCGUCUUCAAAUAGUCGUGUCUUGGCUCUGACCUUCUUUCUGACCUCUCCUCUUGAGCUCACUCCUACAGCACCUAGUAACAGACUGAGUAGAAGUGGUUCUAGACCUUAACGACCAAUACAGAGAAUCAAAUACCAAUAGCAACAGUCUGCCCAGCCCUUGUUGAAGGCUUGGAUGCAGUCAUCCUAUAUAAAGAUAAUCUAUCAUUUAGUAAGGGUUUCUCUACUGUGUGUCUACUAUGGUAGUAUAAGAAAAUGAUGUCGACUUUUCUGGCAACAACAUAGCGGCCCUGCCGCGACACAUUAGCAGUGUCUUGGCGAUUUGAUGGAACUGCCGCGACACAUUAUACGUGUCUUGGCCCAUUCUUAUUGUCUUCCCCAACUGACCACCCUUUCUUUGAACCUUUGAAGUUGCACUGACUACCCUUUCUUUGAACCUUGUUAACCUUUGUGAAAUUGCACUGACGAAUGUGUGAUCCGAUACUUUCUUUUGAACAAAUCCAAUAAUGCUGCUUGUGUAGCUGCUUCCCCCAUUGAUUGUGGAUUGGAUCCGAGACUCUCUUUUGAACUAAAAUACUAUUCUGUCUGCGUGGCGUGGGACCUAAUUGAACAAAUACAAUCCAGCAAACCCCUCUACUAGAAUAUAAGCCAAAACCCUAUACUAGAAUGGAAUAUGAUUUCUAAUCUCGAGAACCUAUAAUAGGAAAUGAUAGCAUGAUACUUGCCUCGAAACCCUAACCCUAGAAAAGAAAUAAGUCUGUUAAUAGUAGGAAGCACUGUACGGAGAGUCUAUGAUGGGACGGAGAGUCUAUGAUGUGGGACUAACUGAGACACGAGCCCUGUACGGAGAGUCUAAGAAUUCGAACCUCUGAAUUAGCGCAGUACUCGAUGAGCAUCACUGUAUAAUGUGAGCGCACAGUACUCGAUUAUCACUGUCCCUAGCUGUCCACGAUUAUCACUGUACCGAGAUUAGCACUGUACCCGAGCUGAGUGGGAAUGAACUUUGACAAGCAUCGGCUGCGGGUGAACACCCUGAGAAUUAGUUGGAAUCAUCAAUCAUACCUAAAUCGGGUUUCCAAAACAUAUAAUGGAACCACAAAACAAACCCAAAUCAUACCUAAAUCGGGUUUCCAAAACAUAUAAUGUAACUACACAACAUACCUAAAUCAUACCGAAAUCAGGUUUCCCUUGUAUCUAAGAGUGGAAGCAAAUUACUAUAAGUCCCUUAGUUGGUGUUGGCAAGAGGGGAGCUAGAGGUAUGGGAGAAAGCUGCAGGGCUUGUUGAAAGAAGUGUUUACUGACUUGAUGGGGUGGUCUUGCUUACUGACUUAGUUGACAUACUAAUUAGGGUAGUUUACUGACUAGUUUGGGUGGUUUCAUUCGUCUGUUACUAGGCUAGGAAGUCUGUUACUAGUUAUUCAGUCUGUUACUAGGCCUGCAUCUAGACUAGUGGAAUACCGAGUAGCAAGAGCCUUAGCGGUCUCAUAAGAAAGAAAGACGAGUGGAGGUCGGCAAGAAAGAGGAUAAUGGAAUGAGUUUACAGAGCCGGAGUUCGGUGCUCUAGUUUCAUCCCUUGCAUUAGGAGUUUCAUCCCUUGUUUGAUCUUAAGUUUACAAGUAAAGUGGUAGUCCUGUUGCAUCAGUAGUUGUUAGUUGACAGAGCACUAGCUAAAGAGGAUUUCGUAGGCAAGUUAGAUAGAGUUAGUUCGGGUCAGAGUUUAAGACCGGUCCCUUAUUAAGAAUGCAACUCGGGUCGUUCGUUCAAUAAUGGAACUAAGAGGUGAGCUAGUAGGAAAGCUAGGCUUGGGAUGAGCAAGAGGGAGAGUUUGAAGAAUUUCCAUAGUUGCUAUAGGUAGAUGAGAUGCUCUAGUCCAGAGGAUAGUUAGUAUCCCAUUUCUUAGUAGUAGCAAUAGUACCAAGUCCUGUCUUCGUAGAUGUGUUCGCCGGUCCCUUAUGAUUAUUAGUAGGAAUGCCGGAGUAGAAGAUUAGGUAGUAAUGCCUGAGUGGAAGAUUCGGUUUCAUACCAGAGUAGCAGAUCAAGUGUUGCAGAGGACAGGUAUAGUAGCCGAAGAGAAUAGAGCCUAAUUCGAUUCCACAUCAAAUGAGUUGACCCUGGCUUAGCAGUACUAAGUGGUCCACUCCACUACUAUUUGCUCUGAAAACAAUAACUAUUCUAUUUCUCUAUUUCCUCAUUGCUUCACACAAGUACUACUUAGCCAUUCUUACUUGAAAACAUAUACUCCCUAGCACUGGGAGCAGUUAAGAGCGGACAAGUCAAUACUAAUCUCAAGUCAGCAGCAAGCGUACUAAUCUCAAGUCAGCAGCAAGCGGGCUAGUUCCCGUUGUUGAUUCUUAUAAAUGAGUCACAGCAGGAAGAAAUUAGUAACAGCAGUCAACCACCCUAGUACAAGUAAGUAAACCACCUCAGGCGCGGCACCCCCAACUCUGUCAGCUGUUAGAGCGCUGUUAUCAAGAUCGUUUUUGUUGCCAGCUGCUGGGAUUGUGGAAUUACUAGUUUACUUAAUUGCUAGUUAGGGUUUGGGGUCUCUUAGUAGCUUGCCGGUGACAAGUAGUAUUGGAUUUACUGGUUCAUAGCCUUCUACUACCUUGUGGAAUCCCUUGUUGCCAGAGUGAGUAUCGGGUGCUUCUGUUAAGCAAAGAAGUUUUCCAUAUCCGAACACCUACCGCAUAACUGACGUAGUUACUUGUCCCCUAAUUAAUUCUAUAUUCUCUUAUUAAGGAUUGAGUUUAGAAAGAGAUAAGUCCACCAAGGAACUGCUAAUGUUCCGCGGUAGCGAGCUAAAAACGGCUACUCCGACUGCUCUGUCAGGUAGUAAGCCUAAUACUGGUGCUGCUCAGGCCUAUGCUGAGUAGUUACAGAAUAAGAGUCAAGGUAAUAAGCCUGAUGAGCUAGGGUAGGAAGACAGAAUCAACCUAGCAACUAGCAGACUGAUGCGGUGUCUAGCAAGGAUGAGACAACUGCCGCUCAGAAUGGAGCUCCCUAAGAUCAGACUUCAACUAGUGAACCGAAGCCUUAACCCAGUGCCACUGAGAAUGCAGCUAAGUAUUAUCAGACUGAAAGCAGUCAAUCCUAUUCCCUAUGACCUGAAGUCCAAAUCCAGUAGUCGCUUGGUUAGUAGGCCUACUUGCUAUGUGUUUGUAUCCGUGGCUUGGUCUUACGUAGUUGCUUGGCGCUGCCGCUAUUAAUUAGGACUCCGGAAUAACUCAUUAAAACAUAUUACAAGUACUAAGAUCAGGAUGAAACCAGGUAGUCAAGGUAAUGAUUGCCCGCCUAGGUAAGAGAUCCAGAGAGGGAUGAGAAGUAGAUGAGCCAGAGCAAGAUCAGAGGAUAAAGAAUCUAGAUCUGGUAAAGGCUUUGAUGCCAAAGGAGCAGGUACUGACCUAACAGAAGAAUUCACCGAGUUGUCGACUUGCCUGAUAGCAAAUAGAUACUCCAGUUUCCUUCCUUCACUAGGCGCGGGUAGUUGACUUAGUCGGUAAGGUAGAAAGGGAUGCUUCAAGUCCUGUUUCUCAGUGGAUAGUUGGCAGAGCCUAGCCUGUAGUUGUAGAGUGGAAUACCGAUCCUGUUCGAGUUAGAAGUCACUCUUGUCUGCUUGCCUACUUGUCUAGUAGUUCCUUGGCUGAUAGCAAAGUGAGUGGAGUGGUAAAGUUUCAUCCCUUGUUUCAUAUCUCUUGUUUGAUCUGAAGUUGACAAGUAGUGGUCCAAGUCAUCUAUGCGAGGCUUUGAAGCGGGGAAGUCAAGAAAGGGGAGUCAUAAGUCUGAUAUAAGAGAUGAGCCAGAGGUAUAGUGGGCAAGACAAUCAGUAGGAGCAGGGGAGCAAUAGUAGUUCCGUGGUAAAGUGGAAUCUGUAUUUAUAGCCAGAGGGGAGUUGGAUGAGCCGGGAGUUCAAGAGUUAAUAAAGAUGAUUUAAGUCUGCUGCCCCUGUUCGAGUGGAAUCAGUGAGUGUCUUGGCUGUUGACUACGGUAUAGGAUCCAUAGUUAGAUGAGUUCAAAGAGAUGAGAUGAGCCGGAGUGAGACACUCGACUUGAAGUUCAUCAUUGCUAUCAGGCAAGCUACGACUAUACUAAUUAAUAGAGUCAAGGCAAGAAAGAGAAUAGUGAUUGUUUUCAGAGCAAGAGGCGAGGGAAUGUAAAGGCUUUGGUUGCGAGGUCUAGCCUCAAAGCCAGUAUGCCGGGGGAGUUAAUCUUUACUACCUUGUUGCCAGAGAAGACAGAUUGGGAGUUUACAGAGUUAGAUUAGCAAGAGAAGAGGCAAGAUCAGAGGAGAGGUUUAGGGGCAAUAAGUAGAUGAGAUGAGCCGGAGUUCAAAGAGUAAGCCCGAAGUAAGGAGUAAGCCCCUACUUAUUAAGGCUUGCCCGAUGCCAAUUACUAGACUAAGAAUCCAACUAAGUAGUUACAGAAUUGAACUAAGAGUGGAGCUAGUAGGUGGAAGAAUGAAGCUAAGCUAUAAGUACUGAAGUAAAGGAUCGGGUUGGUGCUCUAGCCUAGCUCCAAGUCUUGUUUCGGGUGCCAUAGAAGAGAGAUUGGCUGCUGAAUCCCUUGUUGAGUCUUAAGUUUACAAGUAUGGGUCUGUUUCUGGUUCUAAAGUAAGGGAUAGGCGAGGAAGCUAGAAGUAUUGAACUAAAGAAUGGAGUGGUAGAGUGGACUUAACACCGUCAGAAUAGCUUAAGUCAACAGAAAAAACAGAGAUAUUAGCUCGGCUCUGCCCCUACUGAAUUAUAUAUUCUCUAUAUAUAGGUGAACGGAUCAAACUAAGGAGUCACAGCUAGAAACAGGAAUUACGGAAUGCAACCACUGUUCGGGGCUAGUAAGGGGUGUUCGGGAGCUGCUAAGUGAUAGAAUGCAACCGGGGAGUCAAGGAACGGAGCUGGUACAACUCUUCAUUCUAUUACAAGGGUAGGGAUCGGGUAGUUUACUUACUUUCUUGUUAGGGUAGUGACCACUGGAGAAUUGCCUGUUCCAGGUCGAGGUCGGGAAGCAGCAGAGUAAAGUACUGGCUUUGAAGUGAGGUAUGCUUCAGGAGAAGUUUCUGUUAGUAUGAGUAGUCAGAGUCUAGGUCUCAAGGGAAGCAAUGAAAGCUAUCCGGCAAGGAAUCAAAAACAAUGAAAGCUAUCAGGCAAGAAACCAGAAAAAACAAUCAAUGAUAAAAUGAAAAUAAACCAGAAAACUUCUUUCCCUGCUCCCAUAAGAGGAGUGGACACAUAGCUUGAAGACCUGAUUGAGAGAUAUAACAGCGCUACCGCUAUACAUUAGUAGUUGCUUGGUGACUUCAACAAGGGAGUCAAAGAAUGGAGCCUAUUGGGUGGAAGAAUCCAACUAACUAAACUCAGACUUCAACUAGCAACUAGCAGAGACAAGCAACUAAAAGAGUCAGCCGUAGCCUUAGCGCUUCAAAGCCUUCUCCUUCUCCUUAUUCUUUACCUUCAGAGGAUCCAUUCUCUGUUUCAAUGGAAUGAUACUUAAGACGGGCGUUAAGGCGGGCAAGUCAAACUAAUAAGAAUGCAGUUUUACGCCACAACUGAUCUCUCGUUAAAUAGAAAAGCAAUAGACCUUUGGGGACCACAUUUCCAUAAUAACAUGCUAAUCAAUCUUAUGUAAGUUAACUGAAUAGUGCAUUUAAGAAUAUCAUAAUAAAAGAGAGAAAAGCAGUCAGUAGCUGGAGAACGAGAGACAGGAGCUAUAGACUCAAAGACGGGAAUGGUGGACUUACAUGGCAGGGGUGUUGGUUUGAAACAAACUAGUAAGGAGGUCUAUGUUAUUAAUAAGAUAUGCAUUGUUAGAGCCACUAAAGGGAAGUUUUGUUUGGUGCUUUAGCUACUAGUAGUAGAGUGAAGUAGUAUCACCCAUGUGUUCAGUAAGGAAUUCGUAGUUGUCUGUCUGUUUGCCCCAGUUAAUCUUUACUACCUCGGUCAACGAAUACUGAUUUCACUGGACUACACCUGAGUUAGUUGUUUCAUGAAAUACCUGAUCCGGAGUGGAAGUUAGUAGGAGAGAGACUAGUGAACCAUCAAGGGAUGCUGUUAAAGAGGCAGUAAAGUCCAGGUAUCAAGUCCAGUAGCAAUCAAUUCUUCCUGCCUGUUCGGAGUCCGGAUCAUCGACAAGAGAAUAGGAAGUAGUUUCAAGUCUAGGUCGGGGUGUCAAUUCCAUUGUAGACGUAAAGUAUCUACUAGACAAGUGUCACUGUAGUAGUAGUAGUCCAUUUCGAGGGAUAUGGAGAACCUGUCCUGUCCGAGAAACUAGUUGUCGAGUAGUCCAGAGGCCCUUAUAUUAAGUCGCAAUAACUGUAUUAGUGGCCCUUAUAUGAAGUCGGUCGAUGAACUCUUUCUUUGUAGCCAGAGGUAUAGAAGUAGUUGUUUUCGUUUCUAUGCUUGUCUAGUAGUUCCUUGGGCCUGCUUGGCUGAGUUGGAGAAAGAAGAAUAGUAUGGAGGUGAGAGUUGAAGCAAAACGGGUAUAUAUGUCCUGAGUAGGAAAUAGAUCAUAAGCCGAGGGUUAAGGUUCAUUAUGGGGUUGUUUCCCUUUGUGCCCGUUGCUUGGCUGUAGCCUGAGUUAGCUGAGCAAGAAGAUGGUUCUCGUUGCCAGAGAUAAGAGGUAUAGUCGUGACUUGGCCUCCGCUUGUGGAAUUACUAGUUUUCUUCCAAUACUAGGGAGUAGUCGCCAGUGAAAGAAGUGAAGUUCAGAAUUGUCCUAAGUAGUCAAAGAAUGGAGCUAAGUAGUUACAGAAUCGACCUAGCAACAACAAGACUCGGACAGUGCCCACUCAGACUAAGACAAGGGAGUGGUAGACUCAACCUCGGGAGUGACAGAAUGCGACUGAUCGGUGCAAGCCUGAUACUAAGGAAAGGCUAUAACCACGGAUGCUAGGACUGAUGCUGCUAAGGGAGAGAAUGAAGCGGACACCGACGGGAAUGGAACGAGUGAGUCACAGCCUUACCAUAGUAUAGAUGGUGUCAGACUGAAAUCAGUAAAUCAAAGAAUCAAACGGGAGACCAUCCAGGAGUGAGUGCUCGCUUUGAAGCUAGGGGAGUUGGAUUAUAAUAAGGGCUUGCUUUGAUGCUAGGCUAGGUGUACUUGCUUUGAUGCUAGGUGUACUAAAGUAAAGUCUCUUUCCGUUCUUGUGUCAGGUGUGGGUGCGGAGGAUAAGAUUAAGAGCUUGUGUUAAGCUAAGUAGUCAAUCUAUCUCUUAUUAGGGGAACUCCUGCCGCUACACGUUAGUAGUUACUUGGCCCACUCCUAAAUCCUUAUAUAUCAUAUUAUAGGAUGACUGCUAACCAGAAUGAACCCAAUGAGGAACAGCCUGAAACAACUACCAACUAAACAAAGACACCUAGAAACAAGGCACCAACAUGUGCUAACGAGGCAACAACCACUGUUAACGAGACUAAUGCUGAUGCUACUUAUUCUUCAACCACUGCCCUCAAGAAUGUAGCUAGUCAAUCUAAGACUAAAACAAGUGCAUCUCAGCCUGACGCGGUGUCUGCUAGGUAUGUCGCUUCAGGGUAGUGGUAAAGUGGAAUAUCAAGUAGGAGUCCUGGUAUUUUGAAUAGCAAAUAGUAGAGGACCGGAAUGACUUGCCUCGUUGCUUGGUCAUUUGUAGAUACUUGUCUGCUGCCCCUGUUCCAGUUCGAAAGUAAGGGUAAGGAAGGCUACUAGGUUAGUUGGUAAAGAGAAAAGAGACAGCUCUGAAGUUCAUGGUUCUAGUCUGAAUCCCGGGUUUGAUGCGGGGAAGUGGGUAGGCUCGGUAAGCAUUUAAGUAAGAAGGAGAGGCCUCGGUGGGAAUGUAGCUAUUGGUUAAGGCUUCAACUUACUGGUGGAAUUCCUUUACUAGGUCGGGUGCUUGUGUUAAGCUAUGAGCAAAAGAUAGAAUUGUGGGGAGAACGCCUGCCGCGUAACGCGAACACAUGACUUGGUCAUAAUUGGUUAUAACAUAUCUAUGCUGCUGCUGCCGCGCAGCUUUCAACUCGCUGCCGCGACACGUUAGUAGUGUCUUGGCGCGCCGUUGCUUGGCCUUGGCCUUGGCCCUUACUAAAUUAUAUAUUAUCUUAUUAAGGAUUGAGUUUCGAAAGAGAUAAGUGCUGUGUUCGGGGCUAGUAAGGGAAAGAAUGGACUAGGGAGUGACAGGCUGAUGCUAAGGAGUCCAAGGCUUUGUGAUACGAGGUCUAGAACCAGUGCACUAACAACUAGGCUUUAAACCGGUACCACCGAGACUGGAGCUAACAUAGAUCAGAAUCAAAUUGCUAACUCACAGACUCAAACCAGUGUAACUCAGAAUCAAACAGGUAACAGUCAGAACGAAACUAAUUGGUGAGCUAGAGAGUUGAGCUAGGCAGACUUAAUCCUGAGCUAGCAAGCCUGAUACCAGUGCACAAUGUAAGCGAGCGGAUUCAUCAACUUCACUCAUAUUCUAUUUUCUUUCUUUAUAAAUAAAUAAUAAUAUCUAUAUAAGCUAUAUAAGGAGAAAACCCAGAAUUUACUGAAUUUAGUAGGGGCCGAUCAAGAAGCAAUUACAAUACAAGGCAGGAAAUAGAAAUCCUAGGAGCGAUAGAGUGGUCAGGAAUCAACUUCACUUCUUUAUUAACCCCGAGCAGCAGAAUAGCCUGUUCGAGUUUCUUUAUCAGCAGAAGAAUGAGCCUAGCCAGACAAUAGGGGUAUUGUAGUCAGAGAGGGUAGAGAAUAGAGUUUACCGGUACCGGGUAGUUAUAGACUUAGCUACAUAGCUUACAAGAAAGUCUUAAUUAUAUUAUAUGACAAAUCUUCCGAUAAGCCAAGUCGAGUCUAUUAUAUAAGCUUAUAAAAGAUGGAAUGAAAGUUAGCCAUAUAACUCUUCCCUCCCUUUCCUCUUAACUGCCAACACCAGACUUUCUCACAGGAACUGGUUCUUCUGUUUCUUCUGUAUUGCUAGCGGAUUAAAGUAAAUAAGUGGACUCAACAAGCCCUCCCUGAACUACUAGUUUAAGCAUACUCUACUCUUGCUACUAAUACAGUUUCAUUCUGUUACUUAUACUUACGGGUUUCAUUCUUACCUCUUUCGGUGACUGGAAGGAUGGGUGCUGGUAUACACUAUAAAUGAAUUCUUUCUCAUCUUUAGAUGUUUUUCUGGGGAUUGUCUAGGAAGAGAGAAAACCCGCUUUCAAUGGAAUUCUUUGAGGCUUAGAAGCGGGGCCAGCUCCUCUCAGCGGGAAAGAAAGAAAGAGCUCUACUAAUUGUCUAGGUUCGUUGCUAGGGAAAGAAAGAAAGUAUAGUGAGCAAGAGUUAUAGGAUCAGAAUUAAGGCAUAUGAGCCAGAGGUCAGAGGUGGAUGAGCCAGAGUGAAAAGAGCCUGUUCGAGUUAAGUGAUAGUCCCCUGGUUGGAAGCUUAAUUGUAAGGCUCGGAGUAGAGGUCAGAAAGAAGGUAAGAGUGAGAAGCACCAGCGAGAGUAUUAUUGGCAUGGGUCAUAUGCUAGUCAAACCUUAGAAGCGGUGUGAGCUCUAGGUGUUCUUGUUUCGGGAAGCAGUGUACUUAAUAAGAAGAAAGAGAAGAGUUAUUGUUUUCAGAGCCAUAGCUCCGGUAGAAGAGCAAGAAAGAAGAUAACUAAUCAAGUUAUCUUCUUGCCAGUCAAUACUAGAGCAUCUCAUCUAACUUAAUUGUCCUGUCUUCGUAGAUGUUUUCGGCGACAGACUCAAAGGUUAGGCAAUAAGGCUUGGUUUAUCGACAUGGUAGGGCUCGGACUCCCGGGUGUAGUUCUUUAGUAUUGUUUUAAUUAGCGAUGGAAAUGAAGGUGAGUCUUUUAAUACAGGGACAGGAAUGCCCUGCUCGGCGGUAAUGAAACUCGGGGGUCAUAUUCUGAUUCUUCUCUCAGGAUCCAGCGAGUUGAAAUGGUAAAGUUCCCUUAAGAUAGAUAUAAGUAACAUAUGUGAAAACACCAUAUAGAUAGAUCUUUUGAUAGAGUCCGACUCAAGCGAGUGAGUGAAAGGCGUAGCAACCGAAAAUAGCAUCAGCAUAAUAUCUGGGAAGACGGCAUAGGGCUGGCUUCUUAGGCACUUGAUUGAUGCCUUACCGAUGCUUGGCAGAGAAGAGAAAGUACAAAUGCCUCGCCCUUGCUACAAGAGAUGGAAUGGGACUUGGGAUCUGCUGGGGGUCCUCCGAACAGUAAGAUGAAAGAAGCACUUUUUCCCGAAACUAGCCCUCCUCAUUGCGCGUGGGAUAAAAGAUCCGUUGCCAAUCUAUUCUCUUGGUCUUCCGCUCUCUCUUCUUAUCCGCCUGACCUCCGAAAGAAAUUCCAUAUCUCUGGCCCAGCUUCGUCUAUAAUCUCAUUUAUGAGUCUAUUGGUUUAGCAGAUAUUUCAUAGCUUGCUUUCUCUUUACUCUUCCAUUUCUAAAGUGAGCAACGAACAAGCAAAGAAUCAUCUAUCUCAUAGGACAGGACCAGCGCAAAGAUCAUUAGUAUUUGGAACAGAACAAGCAAGGAAAGGGCAGGGCUAAAGAAGGCCACCACAUAUACCCUUAUAAUAAAGCGACAUAUACCCUUAUAAUAAAGCAAGCGAAGCGCACCCUUAGUCUCGGUAAAGCCUAGCACCUUUCCCUAUAUACGUAAGCUUACUUGAGUUGUAAGUUAGAUUCCAUUCAACAAGCAAGGGCGAUUUGGUGCCUGGUGCUAUAGACUUUCCGAGGCUUUGCCAAAGUGCUAAUGUGGUUGUCGGGAAAGCGAGUUAUGCUAUGUUUGGUUUACAUAUAUUAUCUCUAUUGAAUGAAGUGUGAGUUCAAUGAUUUUCCCUUGUGUGCCGGGCUGUAAGUGAUAGAGUUGGCCGGGGUUGAACAACCAGAUUGACUUCUGACUUAUCAAGCAACGCUCUUGGGACUGUUUGAAGUACUAAAAUACUCGCUAUUCCACUGUUCUUUCUAGGUUGAGUUCGACAAUUGGUACUUUAACCCAUCUAAACACCCCUUCCUUCCAUCUAUUACGAGUACUUAGUUGGCUUUACAACCAUUCCGGAUUUCCAGCCUUGCCUUACCCUUACAGCAACACAGACUUUGAGCUAAGCAGCAGCUCCCGAGCCGAGGACUUGCUCUUAAAGCUACCGUUAGCUAGUUAUGUGGUGAGGAUGUGGGCGCUCUUUCUUUCCAGUAAAGGACGGAAUCAAUAUAGUAUGGGAGCAGUUAGGACAGUUCUUCAAUGAUUUUCUUACUUUACUGAAGCGUUAAGUAUUGCCAGGCCCAACAAUACGUUAUGCUAAGGAAGGAGUUAUUGGAGCCUUAUGCUAAGGAAGGGCCAAGCAACUAAGUAAGACCUAGCUGCAGUGGUAUCAGCCUUGCACCGAUUAGCUCCAUUCUAUGACUCCCCUGUUUCGUUCUAGGACUCCCCGGUUUGAUUCCCUAACUCCUCGGUUUGAUUCUUACAAUUGAGCACCCGGCUUCAGAUCUAACCUUUCUCACAAGAACAGGAGCAGUAGCAAAGCCUUACUUAUUAGCUUAAUCCUUAUUGUCCUAUCUCUUUAUUCAAACAGAAACUCCUGCCUGCCCGGCCCCUCGCCCUAGGUCGAUUAACUUAACUACUACUGUUGGAAUGCUACCACUACUACAAGGACUUAGCCAAUAAAUAUAUAAUGAGAGAAUGCUACUUUAGGGGGUCUUAUACAGCUCAAGCCUUGCUUACUGGAGGAGCUCUUCUGUAGGAUAGUGCUUUAACUCACAUUAUUCUAAUAAUUAGUACGUUGCUAUUAUUAUUUGAACUCAUGACAUAGAAUACAACCAGCGCUAACACGACUUUAGCUCAUAACAUAGAAUACAACUAGCGAUAACAAGAUGAUAACUCAGAAGUAGGACUCAGUUCGGAAGUAGGAUUGCACCCAAUAAGUCCAAAAUGGGCAAUGGGAGGUGCGCAGACAGAAUGAACUCUAGCAGUAACAGGCUUUCAAGUGUGAGGUAACGAACGAAAUAGGGAAAGUAGGAAUCAAACCUCACUUAAAGAGUGAAAAGGGAAGGCAUUGGUUCAGAAGCUUAAGCAGGGGAAUCUUACUCUCAAUACGGAGAACUCAACCUAGUAUAGUAGUCCCGGCCACCAAGCUUAGUAUAGACAAGUAUGCAUAUAGGGAUUACACUAGCGCUGACAAGGUUUUAACAGGGCACUAAUAAGAAUGGAACACUGCCCCAACGGACUAAACUAUUAUUAUCUAUUAUAUGAUAGACUGAAACACUGCACUAACGAAUCGAACUACUUAUAGAAAGAAUUGAACAGUGACCUAAUGGCUUCAACUCAAAAGAUUUAAUUGCACUGGGCAGUCCGAGCCUUUUAUUAGCACUUCCAAAGACAAGCCUUAUACACUUAGAUGCGUUCUUUACUCUCUAAAGUCUACCGCUCUGUUGUUUGGAGUCACCAACCAAAUACUAGGCCAUAACUCAUAUAUAGGCAUUGAAGUUGGAAACAAAGGCUUUAUUUCAGGAGGAGGAGCGAGGGAAUGAGAUAAGGGAGCUACAGACUGAUCGACAAAGUAAUUAGAGUAGUAAUUUGGAGAGACAGAGUUACCCCGCGCAAUAAUAGGACUGGAAAAGGGAACUUUUGUUCUGGCAAUAAUAGGACUGGAAAAGGGAACUUUUGUUCUGUAGUGGUUACUUACAUUGGAUCUUUAUUUGUUUCAAACUGUAACUAGUGCUACCAAUACAGCAGCUAAUAAGUAGUAAUCUAUUCUCUGGGUCAUGUGUUCAAACGUAUUGCUCUAAGCCCCCAACGAGGAAUAAAGUGUUUCGCUCCCGAUCUCCAAUCCGUAUUUCACCUCUGAUUCUUGAGUAGCAAACAACGAGAACAACAAGUUUUCUAUUUCCUCAACCUCACUGCUUUCCUUAGUAGCAUCAUUGUUUAUACUGGCUCCGCUCCCGAGCGCAUAGCAAGUAAUAAAUACAUUCUAACAGAACAGGAACUAGCGUCCCCUUUUUGAACUCGCUACCGCUACACAUUAUCCGUUACUUGGCGUCUAGUAGUAGCUUGGAACUUCAUAUAAGGCACUCCGGACUCCUUUACUAGUAUAUGCUUGUCGGAGCAAUACAAGAGACAGAGGAGCUCCAGCAGGACUCUCUGGUGAAAGAGGAGCUACAGCAGUCCAAUCAGACCAUUCACUUACUGCUUAACUAACCGCUACUUGGGCAUUCUUAAAGAGGAGCUGAGCCUUUAUUUAGUCAAGAAAGAUGCACCUGGCCAAGUCACUACAAGUACUUAGCUGUUAGAAAGUAAGCAACAAAAGGUAGAAAACGGAGGAUAAGAAUUCCGGUAUCAAACUACAGAAGAGGAACAGGAAGGUAGAAAACGGAGGAUAAGAAUGAAGGCACCCUUCGCCUACCAAGUAAGUCAACUAAGUCAGUAAACCAGAUCAGUGCAGGAACCUGAGGGAUAGAAGAAAGCAGCUUGUUUCAAGAAGUAUUUGUUUAAAGAGGAGAUAGAGGCGUUAACACUAGAGGUCGAGUGCCAGCCAGGUAUUAUAGAUGAUAGGCUGUGAGAGUUAGAGUAUCAUCCCAGUUUACAGCCCCUUUAAGUAGUAGUCCCAGCAUUAAGGUGAAGGUACGGCGUUUCAUUCAAGACUCGCUCCACUAAUUGUCUAGGAAAGCAGUAAAGUCUCUAGUUCUAGUAGAAAGUCCAGGUCAAGUUCCAGGCCCAACAAGACUAAGUGCAUCUGUUCCAUUUCAAUUACUUGGUUCCUCUGCUCUAAAAAGAGAUGGAUUCCUUUGACCAGCCAAGACGACUGUUACUUAUUUCUUUCCUAGGAUUGGUAACAAGGGGAUAAAACUACUCAAGUCAGCCUUUCACUACCGGUAGCUACCUCUGUUAACUACUAGUGUGAAGCAAUGAGGGUAGUUUCAAAAGCAAUGAGGGUAAUGUCAAUAUCCUAUUAUAUACCUAUCGAAUCAAUCUAAAUCAAUGGUGGAAUAAAAUCACAGCCAAGACACUCACUGAUUCCACUCGGUACUCGGUAUUCAACCAGAAAAGAAAGAGACUUGUCACCGGCAAGCGUAUACUACUUGCACCCGAAACUCCAGGCAAAAAAGCUGCCCUCGCAUCAAAGCCUUUACUUGCUGAUUACCCUUGAAAACAGGAUUCGUUCUUCCCCGGCUUCAGAUCUUGUAACUACUGAUUCUCUGGUCGACCUCUGUUAUUGAUUACUUUACGAGCUUCCUCUCCUUUGGUUUAGUCUCCCAUUGCCCUAUUUCAUUCUCCGACAGCUUGGCCUAUAACCCCGCUUUAGCUUAUCCCAGCCCUUAUCUUCCUGGCAAUAAGUCUAUGUCUCCUGGCUUUUAGUUUGACUUGACUGCUUCUCAGACCAUAUCUCUGGUUUUCAUUCUAUAUUGUUAGUUAUACUCUUCUCGGUUCAGUUCUGCAAAGUUUCAUUCUAGUCGGGGAAUCAUAAAAGUACUGGUGUGCGAACAGGAGUUGUUGCAAUUCAAUAAGCCGGCAGUAUAAUAAAAGGGAAGUAGGCUAGGGAAGUAGGCUUGGGAAGUGGGCUUGUUUACUAGAAAAUCUAUACUCGAUCAAUUCAAAGAGCUAACUAACGCUUAUUUUCGGUUUCAGGGAUGCCUUUCCUCUAUUCUUUUCUUUGUUGACUCUCCGGGGUGGGUUCCUCUCAAUCAAUUUCUAGUAGGUGGCAGUAAACCUUUAUUUGAUUCUAUACUCUGUGCUUGAAAUUCCAUUCAACGCUGAAGAUACAAGUGGUGGAUCACAAUCCGCAAGCAAGCAAGGGAAAUCCAUUCUUUAUAUACGAGAGAGUCUAGCGCAAUGGAACAAACAAGUAAACAACAAGAAGCAAUUGGAUUGAAAUUCCAUGUUGUACCUGAACCUGAGUCUCGCCUUAAACAAGCAAGCAAAGAAUAUCCUUCCCAUCUUGCUACCAAUAUAGGUGCGGAAACCUCACUGCUUACGGAAACUCACUUAGCACUUGCCUCAUUUACAGCCUUACCCUUACUUUCAUUGUUCAAACUUGCCUAAGCCAGGAACUCCAUUCAUAAGAGAAUCAGAAUCCAGAGUAGCUAAACACAGGCCUACUGCGUUGUUAAUGGAAGAAAAGUGAAGUAAGUGCCCCGAUUGCUUGAGUUUGAGUGGCGUGCGAGUUUGAGAGCUUAGCGUAAGGAGUUAGAGCAAGCGUUAGUGAGCGUCAGGGACUUACUCUUGGGGCGCUAACGUUAGCUAGUUAAGAAUGGGCAGUGUUGUUAAUCUCUCUUACUGUUCACAUUAAGCAGUGUUGUUAAUCUCUCACAUCUAAUAUCAUUGAUGAAACAAACAAAGACUUCUUCUUAUUCAUAUAAGUACACAACAUAUUUAGAGAAUGGAAUAAGAUGACUUUUGAUAUACAAUACGAGCGGACUUCUCGCAUUCUGAUUUAAAGUAUGGGUUUGUGUUGUGGGCUCCUUUAUUUCGCAUAAACCUUUCUUUCAGGACCUCGAAUUGCCUCCUUCCCUUCUCCGUCUGCCUCCUAAAGUGAUUUCUUUAAAUGAAACAAAGAUGAGAGGAUCACUAUAAGCAAGAUACACCUUCCCUUCGAUAGGGUUUCCACUCGAGAUGGGGUAAGUGCUUUGUUGGAGGCUUUUCCCAGACGACAGUAAAGUGGGCAAGAAUGAACGAACAGGGGGCAAGUGGGCAAGAAGAUCGAAAGGGGGCUAAGCAAACUCUCCUAAUUCUAUUUAUUAUCAACCUUUCCGCAACAUUCCUAUGGCCAAUCACAUUUAUGGUGAAAACCGUUUAUGCUGCUCUUGCUUGCGAGUCCGAUCCAGAGCUUUGAGCUAAUUGCCUGAAUCAUACACCUGACAAUGAAGCCAAUGCAAUGCCAACACUAUGAGGUCUUUUGGCGAAACAGGGCUCAGUAACCUUUUCUAUCCUUCCAUUUUGUUGAAAAGAGUAUUAGCCAUAGAAGGAAGAAAGGGCUUGCUAAGCUCCCGCUGUCAUUCCUAUGUCGGGUAUAGAAGGUGAAGAGUCAAACAAAAGGAAGGUGAAGGUGAUGAGCUCCGUUAGCUAGUUCUUAGGCUUCAAGUUACGAGUCAGGUUCUACCUUUCUGUAGAUUAGAGAGUGAUAGUCCGGAAAUGGAACUCUUUGAAAGCAGCAUUCCCCUUGACUUGACUUGAAAUAGAACUCUUUGAAAGCAGCAUUCCCCUUGACUCGAUCUUUCAAACAAAGUGACUUCCAUUAUAUAUGAAUAAUGAUGGUAAUAAUAAAUAUCACUAGAACUCGCUCCAAGGCAUAAACUGGGAUUGUCGAGAAGAAAAAGAAAGCACAGCUCUUCCCUAGAGUAGAAAGAAAGGACGAUGGAAGGGAAUUAAUUGGAAGCAAAUGGAAGAACUCCCAAAAACAGGACUUGGUUAUGACUUGGAAUAACUCUUUACUGGCUACCGCACCGAAAGCAUCUAUGGUAAUAACUUCGUUAUGACUGUUACUGGCUGCCGCUCCUUGGCUCGCUACCGCCCAAAAAACAUCUAUUGUUUAUAACUUGUAAUAUCUAUUAUUGUUGCUGACGCACAACGGCUUUCGCCGUUGCUUGUCUAUCCGUGGCUUGGUCGUUAGUAGUUACUUGGCCGCCUAAGCUUGGUCGCUACGUUAGUAUAUGCUUGGCCCCGGGUUUCUUAAAAAAGAAGUCAAUUGGGGAGCUCUAGUAGGUAAAAUGCCAGUGCUGCCUUUUUUCCUGGGUUUUGGUGAACAGUAGUGCUAGGGUGCUCAAACAAAAGAGGUCGGGUCGGGUGCUAAGGUAAGAUCUGAAGCUGUCUCAUCAAUCUGAAGUUGUCUCAUCAGGAAGGGAAAGAAAGAAAGCAGUGUCAGUUUGAUAGCCAGGAGGUAUUGUUUGAGAGCUACCCGCAGAAGAUAGUCUGUGUAGGGCGUUUGUUAGAGUGAGAGUCAAGAGUAAGGCCUUGACAGCCCCGUGCAAUUAUCUCUUUUGAGUUAUAGAUGCAUAAGGCAUUGUUACAGAACGAAACCAGUGAACUAAAGAAUAGAAGGUUGGGUGGGCAGGCUUGGUCAUCUAUGCAAGUAGUUCGUUUUCGAGUUCAGAGCGUAGGGCCAGCAUUGCUACGUGUGUUUUCAUAUGAGAUUUGGAUUACUAUUAGACAACAACUACUACUAAAUGAACGCGAAACCGGGAAUUCACUAGUGCCCAACAAUACUAUAGUUCUAAACCGGGAAUUCAAAUACGGAUGACAAGAGCUAGACUUGGAACUUAGACUUUAGCUCCUGAGAAAAGGCAUGAAAAAGUGCCCCGCCUAACAAUAGAAAUUCUACUUAUAAGGACCUUAACUGCGAACUCAGCUUGAACUAAUGGAUAAUCAGAAUUGUGCUAGUUCUCUUCUAAUACGAUAACUCAUAAUAGUAAGCAUCGAACUCGGUACAAAUUCUUUCAAUAUGGCAAUCGGAUCUUAGUUUUCAAGCCGAUACUAGUGCUUUUCAUAAUGCAACUAGAACUAAUGGGAAUGGAACCGAUGCUAACAACAGGAGAACGUGGAUGCUAUGAUAGAACCAAACUCCGUAUUAGUAGAAUCAAACAGUAGGAGGGUGACACGAGCCAACCCUACCUACCUUUCCGUUUGAACUGCCCGAUCUCCAAUCCUUAUUUCACUUAUGAGCCUACCCGCCAAGUAAGUCAACAAAGAAUUCCAACUGGCUGCUGGCUUCAAUACAUCUUAUCCCACAUCUCUGGCUCCUCUCCUAUACCUAUGGCUCUGUCAACUCAUUUAUCUUUCAACAAGCCCAGCAGCAGGCUACCGAGCACAUAGUCAGUCAGAAGCCAAGACUCUUCACUCGAGACAAAGAAUCAAACUACUAAGUAUAAGACUCAGAAUGACACAAGCUGAGGGCAACAACCUCUUACCUAAGCUAAGUCAACUAUACCUCUGAUCUUGC
Molecule: long non-coding RNA, 21124 nt
Filed under: Musa acuminata (dwarf banana)
Lineage: Eukaryota; Viridiplantae; Streptophyta; Magnoliopsida; Zingiberales; Musaceae
Description: long non-coding RNA (MACU_LNC007410)
Source: RNAcentral